Molecule: ribosomal RNA, 245 nt
Filed under: uncultured bacterium
Lineage: Bacteria
Description: partial small subunit ribosomal RNA
Rfam family: Bacterial small subunit ribosomal RNA
Source: RNAcentral
AGAAUCAACGCUGGCGGCGUGCCUAACACAUGCAAGUCGCACGAGAAAGGGACUUCGGUCCUGAGUAAAGUGGCGCACGGGUGAGUAACACGUGAAUCAUCUACCUCCGAGUGGGGAAUAACUGAGAGAAAUCUUAGCUAAUACCGCAUAACACUUACGAGUCAAAGCAGCAAUGCGCUUGGAGAGGAGUUCGCGGCAGAUUAGUUAGUUGGCGGGGUAAUGGCCCACCAAGACUGUGAUCGGUA